Molecule: non-coding RNA, 374 nt
Rfam family: Bacterial RNase P class A
About the family: Ribonuclease P (RNase P) is a ubiquitous endoribonuclease, found in archaea, bacteria and eukarya as well as chloroplasts and mitochondria. Its best characterised activity is the generation of mature 5'-ends of tRNAs by cleaving the 5'-leader elements of precursor-tRNAs.
Source: Rfam
UGAGUAAGCUAGACAAUCGCGGCUGGUCGUGCUCGUUGAGAACACGCAUCAGAUGAGGAAAGUCCGGGCUCCUUAGGGUAAGGAUGCCGGGUAACUCCCGGUGAAGGCGACUUCAAGGAAAGUGCAACAGAAAUAUACCGCCUGCAUUGGUUGAUAACGUUAUGUUUAUCAGGGCAGGUAAGGGUGGAAAGGCGAGGUAAGAGCUCACCGGCAGCAUGAAAACAUGUAUGCCCUGUAAACCCCAUCCGGAGCAACACCGUGGCUGGCAAUACGUGACCCGCGUGCCUAUGGAGGUGGCUCAAGCGUAGGCGAAAUCCUUCGCUUAGAUAGAUGAUUGUCCAAGACAGAACCCGGCUUAUCGGCUUACUCAGCUA